Molecule: RNA transcript, 849 nt
Organism: Zea mays
Lineage: Eukaryota; Viridiplantae; Streptophyta; Magnoliopsida; Poales; Poaceae
Gene name: Helicase conserved C-terminal domain pseudogene
Exons: 1
Source: RefSeq, marked validated
AUGAGAAGUAUCCAAGGUAUGUAUGGUUGACGGUCUUUUGACUAAAAACUUUUAUGCUCACUUACUAUGCUACUUUCGAUUACAAAUGGACACGGUGUGAGUUGAUUUUCACAUCUUUCCCACAGACUCAGUAAGCUCUUGUCUGAUCUAAUGGAUGGGAGUCGUAUCUUGAUAUUCUUCCAAACAAAAAAGGAUUGCAAUAAGAUCACUCGACAGCUUAGAAUUGAUGGGUGGCCAGCAUUAUCUAUACAUGGUGAUAAAGCUCAAGCUGAACGGGACUAUGUUCUUGCAGAGUUUAAGAGCGGCAAGAGCCCCAUAAUGGCUGCCACAGGUGUGGCAGCACGUGGUCUUGAUAUGAUGAUUUAUUUGAAUAUUAGGAUUAGGUAGUAGUUCCAAGUGCUCAAGGAUGAUAAGUCGGAGGGUUGUUGAGCUGCGAUUGCUUGAGUGAACUGAACUUGUGGAUUGGUGGUGUAUACCAAGGUGCCAUCAUGUCAAAGGUAGAUAAUUUCCCCCCGUGGUUUACCUCAUUUGAGCGUGAGCAUUGGCAGUGUUACACAUGCAGCUCAACUUUGAGCUAUCAUGGUAAUGUUCCCUUUCCGAAAAAAGUAGCAUGCAACCGAAUAUGCAUUUCACACUAUAGUUGAUUUCUUAGCUUGAUUUGAAUUCCUUGAUCCCUUCAUAUCUGACCAUUUUGGAACAUUUAGGUAUUGUGUUGCUGCCCUCUUCAUUCAUUCUUUGUCCUUGUAAUUGAAUUCUUUUCAAUCCAAUAGUCUGCUUUUUCUUGCAAGUAUUUUUGGCUUACCUUUCUACAUUUUCUUUGUAAAUCCAUGUUUAAUUUGUUUAGAAUUA